UGAGGGUGUGUGUGUGUGUGUGUGUGUGUGUGUGUGUGCGCGCAAGUCCUGCCCCUGGGACCCCUGCCCG
This 70-nucleotide microRNA precursor is filed under the name Echinops telfairi (small Madagascar hedgehog). RNAcentral describes it as "miRNA (ENSETEG00000023692.1)". The record is from RNAcentral. Lineage: Eukaryota; Metazoa; Chordata; Mammalia; Afrosoricida; Tenrecidae.